UUCACUCAUGUUCUCAGUAUUAUGUAUGUAUCUAGGUAUUUAUUUAAUCACAAUUUUUUUUGCAUUUAUACAGAUUGCCUUCUUCUGAACAUUGGUUGUCAGUCUUUGUGUGUAGUUUUUCAUUGAUUCUGUUGUAUUUCUUUGCAAGAAAAUGAAUCUCAGGACCAUAUUUAGUGACAAAUGCAUACUUUGAUAAUAAAUUUACAUUAAACUUUGAACUUUGGAUUUAAUUUGCACACUCUGUAUCAAGUGACAUUCUUGGAGAUUAAAGUAAAAUGCUUCAGUUGAAGCUCUUCAUUAUGACUGAAAGGGAAGAGGAGUAAGUCUCAUUUUGGUGUGGAAACUGGUAACAGAAGGUGGAACACACACUCAGCAAGUUGGGCAGCAUCUACGGAGGGAAACAAACAGCUGACCUUUCAAGACAAGUUCCUACAGCAGGAGUCGGGCCACAGCAUAAUGAGAGUCAGAUGUAAAAUCUCCAUGAUUACUACGAAGUGCACAGGGGAGAGUACCCGGACCGGUUGCAUCAGAGCCUGGUAUGGAAACACUAAUGCCCAGGAAUGGAGAGGCCUGUGAAAAAUGGUGGACACAGCCUAAUCCACAGGCAAAUCCCUCCCCACCAUUGAGCACAGCUACAAGAGCCACCAUCCAUCAUCAAGGAUCCCCAGCAUCCAGACCCCGUGCUCUCUUCUCGCUGCUGCCAUCAGAAAGGAGGUACAGGAGCCUCGGGCUCCAUACCACCAGCUUCAGGGAGAGCUGUCACCCUUCAUUCAUUAGACUCCCUGGAGUGGGUAACUUCACUCAUCUCAACUCUGAACUGACUCAACAAC
Hypanus sabinus (Atlantic stingray) is the source of this 830-nucleotide long non-coding RNA. RefSeq lists it as uncharacterized. Lineage: Eukaryota; Metazoa; Chordata; Chondrichthyes; Myliobatiformes; Dasyatidae. The transcript is spliced from 3 exons. The record is from RefSeq and is a predicted model, not a curated record.